GAAGCCCCAGUCUUGAUUUGUCAAACCCCAACCCCCUUAUUAGUAGCCGAAGUAAAGGCCAGCAUGAGAUCAAAGUCACUUGCCGUCCGUUCGCUCUCUGUUCAACAAAGGCCAUCGAUAUUCCCUUACUUCUCAAGUUUUUCAUUUUAUGAGCCCUUCGAUUGUAUCCCAUAAUAAAAUCUCUCUGAUAAACAUCUUGUCGAUGAUUCGAUUUUAACAUAUUAUUUAUAAUCUUCGUGUGCGCUUUUCGCCUGGCUUCUUUGCGUAAAGAACCUAACUCAUCUGAAGUUAAGAAAAAUGAACCAUUUA
This 309-nucleotide long non-coding RNA is filed under the name Nicotiana benthamiana. Its description in RNAcentral is "long non-coding RNA (NBEN_LNC034349)". The record is from RNAcentral. Lineage: Eukaryota; Viridiplantae; Streptophyta; Magnoliopsida; Solanales; Solanaceae.